UGCAGCCGGGGAGAUAGCGGUGCCCUGUACCUGCAAUCCGCUAAAGCAGGGGUGAUGUUUCGUCUGAGGGUUAUGAACUGCAGCGCUGCCCGUAUCCGUUGGUGUUGAAGUCCGGGUCUUGCGCAACAGAAACCGGUGAACCGUGUCAGGUCGGGAACGAAGCAGCACUAAGCCGGAGCUUCUGUGUGCCGCGAGGGUGCCUGGGCGGAGCCAUCUGCUGCGGUAACGG
RNAcentral lists this signal recognition particle RNA (229 nucleotides) under bovine gut metagenome. RNAcentral's name for it is "Bacterial large signal recognition particle RNA". It matches the Rfam family "Bacterial large signal recognition particle RNA", at positions 7 to 229 of the family's 256-position model. From Rfam's summary of the family: The signal recognition particle (SRP) is a universally conserved ribonucleoprotein involved in the co-translational targeting of proteins to membranes. Archaeal SRP consists of a 7S RNA and homologues of the eukaryotic SRP19 and SRP54 proteins. The record is from RNAcentral.